Molecule: long non-coding RNA, 703 nt
Organism: Penaeus monodon (black tiger shrimp)
Lineage: Eukaryota; Metazoa; Arthropoda; Malacostraca; Decapoda; Penaeidae
Exons: 2
Source: RefSeq, a predicted model, not a curated record
CUUUGAAACGUCUCGUCUCAUCACUUGCGACGCUGACAAGACCAUCAAGAUUUAUAAGGAAGAUGACACUGCGAGUGAGGAAAGUCACCCCAUUAACUGGAGACCAGAAAUCUUAAAGAGAAGAAAGUAUUAAGGCUGUAAUAGUUAGUAUUAUUGGAUAUUGCGUAUUGUAUUGGAUGAAUUGAUAUUAUAUAAUGCCCUUUUACAUGUAAUUGUAUUUCUGUCUAAUGUGUGGAGGUAAUUCACUGUAGGAAGGUUUUACAAGUUUUUUGUUCACGUUUUUGUUUUUUCUUCUUUUUUUUCUUUCUUUUUCUUUCUUUCUUUAUUAUUAUUAUUUUUUUAGUAGUCCUAAUACUAAUUAGGAAGUCCUGAUAGUAAUAUGUAUUUCUUAUCAUUGUCAUUAUUAUCUAUAUUAUUGUUUUUUUUAUUGUUUUCAAUACCCUCACUUUUUAUAGCCAGAAUAAGAGUCUACAGUACAAUUUAGGAAAGGAUUUGUCCCCAUAUAUUUUAUAUUUAUAUUUGUAAAUCUUGAUUUUUGUCUAGAAUGACAAGCAACUCUUUGCUAAAAUAUUCUUAACAAUAUGAAAUUUUAGUAUUUUAAAAAGGUUUUCAUGUCCUUGAUUGGGGGAAAAACUUUUAGCUACAAACAAGAAAGUCUUUGUAUGUUUCACUUUGAUUAUUUGAUAUUAAAAAAGGAAAAUAU